GAGAGCGAGAGAGAGAGAGAGGCAGAUAAAGAGAGAGAGAGAGAGAGAGAGAGAGAGAGAGAGAGGAGUGGAGCAGGAGUUGGGUAAAAGGGGCUGAAGUCCUGCGUCUUCUACUCCGCCGCCGCGAGGAAAAGUCUCCUCAGCGCCACAGACCGAACCCGGGGCCGAGCCGUGUUUUACACCGUCAGUCGUUGAGUCGGUGAACCGAGCCAACUGACAGCGACACACCCUGCCGGAGCUCCGGGACUCCGCCGAGGAGGAAGCCCCGAACUCCGCCGGGUCCGCCCUGGAUGAGCUGUCGGCUGCCCGAGCGACCCGGCCGCCGGUCAAGGAAUCUGUGUUAGCAGAGGAAGGGAAGAGGAGUCGUGCCUCGUCCCCCGUCACCCCGGGCUGUCUGCUUCGAGCUCUCACGCUCACUGGUCGACUCCCAGCGCCUCCCAGCACCUCCCCUCGGCCCCCGAAUGGCUGACGCACAGCAGUUCUUCACUGGCGAGCUUUAUGUUCCCGUACACAUGCUAAAGCUGCCAGCUGAAGAACUGUUCUGGUCAGCCCUGCCCCGGACGACUCGAGGAGAGGAAGCUGACAGCUGAAAGUUUUGGUGGUGGGGGGGGGGGGGGGGACUGAGGAAGGAGGCAAUUUCACAACACUCAGUAGUUAAACUGGACUUUUACAACCAUUGUCUAUAUUCAUGUGCUAAUGAGACGUAAGGUAUAUUUCACUUUAGUCAAACUGGUAAACUGAUAUAUUAACCCUGGAGUUCAUGUACUUAUGUCCUAUUCAUCUGCUGUAAUGUAAGUUUUUUUAAAGUUUUCAUGUGUGUUUUGGGGCAAAUAGUCAUUUCAAACCUUCACAUUCCUCAGCUAAUAAUUUCCGUCCCUCAGUCUCGUAUUCAUUUGUAUCUUCUGUGAUAAUAAACACGUCUUGAGAAAUCCUAAAUGUGACGUUGUGAACUCUGGAGAAACUUUGUUAUUGUUCAUGUUUUGUUUUUUUGUUGCUUUCAAUAAAGACCAAAAUAUUUCCUCAGA
This is a long non-coding RNA of Platichthys flesus (European flounder), 1025 nucleotides long. RefSeq lists it as uncharacterized. Lineage: Eukaryota; Metazoa; Chordata; Actinopteri; Pleuronectiformes; Pleuronectidae. The transcript has 2 exons. The record is from RefSeq and is a predicted model, not a curated record.